AGAUUUCUUAUUUGGAUACUUAAGUGACCAGACUGGAGGUAAGGUCCCUGGUCGAGCAUUGCUCUCGGGGCGCCAGUCUUAUUGGAUUAAGAGAGCCGAAUGACUACUAGAUUUUGGGGUUUAGGGUUCUACCGAGCCACUCGUCCCGUAAAAGUAAAUAUAUAUUUUUAUUUAUUUAUUUAUUAUGGUAUUUGAUUAUAAUGUGAUUUGUAUUUAUGUGCAUGGUUGAUAUUUUGAUUCGAAUGAUUAAUAUUUUAUGUGAAGGAAAUAGUAGGGUAUGAUUAUAGUAUGAUUUGAAUAAUCUAUGUUUUCUGAGAAGAAGCAAUAGUCCCUAGAUUAUUUGAUUUUAACUCACUCUCGAGACUGACAGUCUCCAUUUAUGUUUUUUUCAGAUUCGUGACUGUUAGUUCUCCCGCGACUCUUAUUCAGUAACCCGACUCCUUCAUCAUCGGGUGAUGUAUUUGAUUUGGUAUGUAAAUUGGUAAAUCUUAGAUUCUCCGCAGUAGUAAUAGUAAAUGUAUCAGUUGUAAAUUUUCUGAGCUUCGGGUCUCGCCUAGUUUUUCUGGUAGACCGAAGUAAUUUUGUAAAGUGUAACUAUUAAGAUAAUUUGUGGUUUUAAUAAUAUUAAUUUGAGAUGAGAUUUGUUUAAAUCAGUGAGUAUCAGGCUUACUACGGGUUUCGGUGGCCUUAAGCCUACCCAUUCCCUAGUGCCGGUCACGGGCCCACGGGUGGGGUCGUGACAGGAAACUUUAAAAACUCAUAAAUUUGUUUCUUUUGAACUUUGGAUAUUUCUCAAUCAUUAAUAUUCUUUGAAAAAUCUUCAAUAGUGAUUUCCUCACUAUUUACUAAACCUUUAUACCUUGAAGACUCAGAAAUAGAGGAUUUUGAUAAAGAAGAAGAUCUAUAGAAAAAAGGUUCUAAAUUCAUUUUAAAAUAAACCAAGAUAACUUUCUAAACAAACAUGAACCAAGCCACCAGUUUUACUGCCCUUACACCAGACGGGACUUACUACUGUGCAUAAAUGAACAAGUUUGUUUAUUAGUGGUAUGAUGCAGUUUAAAAUGAUUUUAAAAUCUUUUUAUGCAAAUGAUGUUUCUUUCCCGAAACUCAAAUGGCUUUGAUACCAACUAUGAGACUAGACUAACAAGUUUCUGGUGUGCAGGAUCCUCAGACGAGGCAAGCACAGAGCAUACGCUUAUUAAAUCUUAAACAAGAAUAAAUUUAUUAAUGAAUGAACAAAUAUACAAACUUUGAAAUAAAAACUUUCAACAAAAGAAAGCUUUAAGCUUUAAACAAAAGAAAUAUAACUUACAAGAGGAAUUGAAUACAAGAGGAAGGUGAUUUUCUCACUAUCACUCUCACACUCUCUCUUUUCUCACUUUAUUUCUAAUGGAAUGACUUGAAGAACACAAGAGUCUCUUCUUAUAUAUAUAUAUAUAUAUAUAUAUAUAUAUAUAUAUAUAUAUAUAUAUAUAUAUAUAUAUAUGCCUAUCAUUUUAACAAAAAUAUUAAAUUGCUUAGCGAUAGAAUGACUUAUUUCGAGUAGCGAGUACCCUUUAGUUGUAUUCACCAAUAUAUUUGAGUUCGGUAACCAGUAUUCACGUGUUCAAAUCCGAACCCGACACGAAUAGUAAAUUAAAUUUCAAAUUCGUUUACUGUUAUUCAAAUUUUAUUCUAAUAGGGUUCGGUAGGGUCGAGUACCCGGAAAUACCCGUCCGACUAUCAUUCCCAGUGUUAUUCAGAAUUACAUAAUUUUAAAUAAAAUUUUUAGUUUAUUUUUCUUAAAAUUUAUAUACAAUAUUUUUAUUUUUAUUUUAUUAGUACAAUAUUCUUUUAGAUUUAUUCUAAAAAAAUAACACAAUAUAUAUAAUAUAAAAUUUUAAUAGGAAAAAUUUAAAAAUAAAAAUUUAUAUUUAAAUUUUACUACAUAAUAAGAUAAUAUAAAUUUUUAUAUCGUAUUAAUUAAUUAAAAGAAAUUAUUACUAGUAAAAAUUAUCCAACAAACAUCAUUAAUAUUAUAUUAACACUGCAUAAUCAUAAGUUGGAUAUCAAUAAUAAAAUAUUUCUUUAAUAAAAUUUAGCUCUUUUUCUUUUUUGUGUUUAUACGUGAUAUUUAGUUUGCUAAUAAAAUUAUUUUAUAAUAUUUUUAUAUUUUAAUAUUAUGUAAAUAAAUCGUUAACAGUUAUGGUGAUCGAUAAUAUAGUGUUUGAAUUUAUUAAAAAGAUUAACAAAUAUUAUAUUAAUUAAUUAAAAGACAUAUUAUUAAUAAAUAUUUAAUAAAUAUAAUUAAUGUAAUACUAAUAUUAUAUAAUUACUUACUUUAUUUCAUACUAACUGUCUUUUUCAAAAUAAAAGAAUUCUAAUUAUUUGUCAAUUUUAUAUAUCCAAUAAAAUAUUAAUUUUCUUUGUUUUAUUUUAUUUUUAUAUUUAAAAAGGUAUAAAAAAUUUUACAAUAUUUAUAAAAAAAUAAUUUAGCUAGUUCUUUUUCUAAAAUGAAGCUUAUUAAAUAUUUUUUUAAUAUGAAUAAACUUUUAAAGAACAACUUUUAGUAUGAAAUGGGUGAAGUAUAAGUUAAUAAUAUUCAUAGGUUGGUAUUAAUAAUAAUAUGUUGCCAAUAAGUGAAAUAAGCAAUAAAACUAAUAAAACUUUAAUAAUUUUAAUUUUUUAUUAUAUUUUAUUUCACAUACACAUACAUAAAUUUAUACAUAUAAAUAUUUAUUUUAACAAAAAUCUUUAAAUGGUUUAGUGAUGGAAUCACUUUUUUCUUUUAUAAAAGGUCUAUAGUUUAAAUACAUGGAGAAUAAAAUGAUAAAUAAUAAGGUUGAAUGAAUACAUAUUUCCACACUAUACUUUUUAUAUUUGAUCUCUUAUAACUUUUAUUUUAACUAAUAGCACAUCUAUACUUUCAUUUUUAAUAGAUUUCACUCCUAAUAUCAUUUACAAAAACAUGUAUUAAUCAUAGAUGGACAAACUUUAACGAGCUAGAUAAAUGAGUUGAACAAAUAACACGCGUAUAUUAAUAAAAAGUAAAAAAUAAAUAACAUCAAAGGAAAACUCAAAUCCUUAAAUCAGACAUAUUAAAAUUGAAAUCUCUAAUUAUCUUACAAAUAAAAAAAAAACUUUGAAUUCCUCAAUUAUUUAACCAAUUACUUUAGGAAUAUUUUAAUGAUUUGUUUAAUCCUUUAAGGUUAUAUGGUCUCCUAUACCGUGAUUCUGAAAUUGUAUAGUAUUUAUUGUCUAUAAUGCUGGACAAGUUGUUAAGAAUCAAAGAGAGAGAGCAUUGGUAAUUUAGGGUUUAAAAAAGAAAAUCUUUUUUAAAUCAAAAGAAAAAAGAGUUAGGUGUCCACAUCAACUAAGUUAGUUCAUCCAUUAGAUAUCGUUUAUAACCAUGCUAUAUUUCAUAUUGGCAGAAUAGCACGAUUGAAUUAAAGUUGGAGAGUGAAAUUGAUUAAAAAUAAAAAUAUAGAUGUGUUAUUGGUUAAAAUAAAAGUCUAAGAGUGUUAGAAGUAAAAUGUGAAAAGUACAAAGGUGAAAUUAUGUAUGCGGCCUGAAUAAUAAUGUUAUAAUGGCUAUAAGAGGGUAGAGUAACUAUAUAUACCCUAUACCCGUAUCUGUUUACAUAAUCGGGUGGUGGAUAUCUGAGGGUUCAAAUCCAAAUCCAACUCAAAACCAACAUAGGUAUUAAAAUGGGUUCUUACAUAACUACCUCCUUUUAUAACAAUAAUUGCAUGUUUAUCUAAAAAAUGUUUGCAAAAAUACACUUUUAUGGAAAAAUAUAUUAACAAAAGUACACUAAAGUCAAAUAUCAUAAAAAUCAAUUAAAUAUCAAUCACACCUUUAGAAACAAACACACAUCAACUAAAAUCAACAAAAUCAUUCAAUUAUAAAAAAAUAUUAAAUAAAUAAAUAAAUAAAAAUCAACGAACAAAAUAAAAAUCUAAACAAAUAUAGAUUAAACAAUAAAUAAAAAAUCAGCCAAACAUUAACAAUACAUAAAUCAUACCCAUCUUAACAUCAACCAGACGUUAACAAAAAAAUCAUUAAACUAUAAUAUUUUAAAUUCUAAAUUUUAUUUAAUGAUAAUUUAAUAUUUAUUUAUUGAGAAUUUAUUUAGGUGUUGAUAAAUAUUUUAAUUUAAGGAUUCAAGUGUUGUAAAUUAAAAUUUUAUUUUUCAUUUUAUGUAUUUAAAUACCAAAGUUUGAGAAAUGAUGAUUUUGUCAUUGAAAUUAUAAAUUAUAUAUAUAUAUAUAUAUAUAUUGAAAGGAAGAACUUAAUAGGAAUUUGAACUGUAGCCAAAUAACUGUUCCAGCCCUUCUCUCACUAAUACGUUCUAUCUUUGCUGCCACCUCCAUAGUUUGCUGUCCAAUAUCCUAACAGUCUUAUCUUACUGAUAAACUUCCUUUCCAUACCAGUCUUCACCUGCUCCGUGAGUCUCCAUCGUCAGUUGACGUCGAUUCUUGCUAGAAUUGACAAUUCGAAGAGAGAGAAACUAUCUCCUCUAGCGGCCGUCGUCAGCAGCACCAUCUCUCAAUGCCUUUAACUCAAUCCAACACCACAAAUAAAUUUCUCGCCCCCUAAAAAACACUUGUGCUAUGAAUUUCAGCUUUAGACAUCACCAUUUCACUGUUAAUGAUAGAUUAGAGUAAAUAAGGAGCUUCAAUUUGAGUGUUUCUGAAAAACAAGUAAAAAAAAGUAUAAAAAAAGAGCAAAAAUGUAAUAAAUUAAAAAAAUUGAGGUAUUUUAGCAAAUAUUUUAAAAAUGACAUAUGGAGUGUAAAUUCCUCUGUUAAAAUUCAAUCCAAAAUCCGUAUGAUCACCUGAACUCGACCAUUAGAGUUCAGUUAUAUCGAGUAUCAAAAAGUACCUGUCAAUUUGUCAUCUCUAAUAAGAAACACCGAUUUAUGACUAUUGACCAACUUUCUUUUAUAGAAAUAAUUUUAUUUAAUUGUUUUAAUUCUUUUUCAGCGUUGUAUAGAGUUGCCAUAGAAAUCGAAUAAAAGCUUUUGCUUAAUUGUAUUUAGGAUUGAAGUCUACAAUUUAAUAACAACUAUUAUAUUAUAUUCAUAAGUUUUGUUUUGAUAAGAGAAUUUGCUUAUGGUUGCUUAGCUUAGUUGCCAAUUGAAGGACAUCAUGAUGAGAUGAGAAGAUAAAGUUUUUAUAAAUAUUAAUAAAUUAAAUUAAUGUUUUAGUUCCUUGAUUAAGAAACAAAGCUAAAAACAAGUAACAGAUAAGAGGUUUUUGUUUUUCUCCUUUUUCACAUCCGUUCCGGGUCAUCAAAUUAGAGUUAGAUGUCUUUGUUUUUUUUACCCUGUCAAAACUUUCUUCAUAUCCAAAUUUAAAACCAAAAAUUUCCUUCACUUCUACCUCUUUCACCUCUCUUUCUCUUUACUCAACAAUACCCAAACUUAUUCUCUAAUCCAAAAGAGAGGCUAUUAAUUUGGUGUCACAAAUACUAUUACCUACAGUAUCAAGUAAAACAGAUAAUAGAACGUAAGUUUUUUCUUUUAAAUAUUAACAUUGCAUGAGAUAAAUUCUAUUUAUAUAUGUAAUAUUAUUUAAAAUUAUCAAAAAUCUAAAUUUGAUUAAUUACAAAGUGCUUUUUUAUUUUUAUUUUUUUCUAUUUCAACUUUUUUUGUUUAAUUUAUAAAUAUUAUAUAUUUUAAUCGAUUUAAGUCUAUUAGCAUAUUUACUUUUUAUUUUAUUAUUGUCUCUAAGCAAUAAUAGAAAAAUAAGAUCUUAAUUUAAUCCUUAAUUACAUAUCAUAAAAAAGACUUAGUUGUAACACCCGGAAUUUUUAUAUAUUUAAUAAUGAGUUUUUAUUUAAGUUAAUUUUAGCCUCAUUAUUAUUGGGUUUAAUUUAAAAUGAUUAUAUUUUGGUUAUUCAAAUUUUUCCAAAUGCAUAUUUAUAUAAGUAAAAUUAUAUAUUGGAAAAUUAUGAUAGAAAUUAUAAAGGAUGUUUUUAUAAAAGAAUUUUGGGAAAAUUGGUAUUAUAAUUGAUUAGUAGUAUUAAAUUUUGAGUUGGAAAUUGAUUAUUUAAUUUAAUUGUGUGUAGGAUUUAAUUGGAGGAUUAUUUUGGAAUAAGGAUUAAAAGUAUAAUGUUAUUUUUAUGGGGUUUCAAUGGAAAUUUGUGAGUUUGGUAUUUUCGUAAAUAAAUAUGUCGGUCAGGGGUAUUUUUGUAAUUGUGUAUUUUCAAUAAUUCGGUUUUGGCCCAAAUUAAAUAGUUAAGGGCUUAAUUGAAAGGCUAAAAAGAAGUUUGGGGGUCAAAUUUAAAUUCUGCAGGAUGAAAUUGUAAGUAAUUAAGGAAGUUGAGGGACCAAAUUGUAAUAAGGAAAAGUUCGGGGGCCUAAUGUCGAUAUUGAAAGAAAAAGAAGUCGGGGAAGAAGAAAGGAGGAGAGAGAGAGAGAGUGCGGCGUCGGGAAGAGAGAGAAGGGGAAGUUGCAGGCGUCGGCGGCGACCGUCGAAGGCGUGGAGCGUUGGCCGACGGAGCGGCGUGCGCUGGCGAGCGCAGCGGCGACGGCAGCAGCAGCUCCAGCGGCGGCGGGAAUCGCGCGUGUGGCAGCGGCUUCCAGGCGUGUUUCCGGCCGUUUCCGGCGUUGUUGGCGGCCGAGUUGGGUGGCGAUCGGCUCCUCUCGGCGAGAGCUUUCUUUUGGUAGCAGCGGCGACGCCUGUGGUGGCCGGAGACGGAAGAUCUGGUGGAGAGAGAAAAUGGUGGCAGCCGGCGUGUUUGGGCUUUUCCGGCCAGCUCCGGCGGAGGAUGGAUGAUCGAAGGAUGUAUCCCGACUCUCCUCUGCUCAAGCUUCGCGAUGGCACUGGUUUCGUGGCGAUCGGGCUUCGUUUGUGAAUCGACGGUCGAGAUCGUCCACAAAUUUCUCCGGAUGGUCGGGUGUCAGAUCGGAAAAUCGAAAGCGGGGAUCGUCAUCAGCGCGUCGUUGUGAGUCCGAUGGUGUGUUCGGAUCGUCGAUCGGACUCCGGCGGCUAGAGGCGAGUCGACCGAGCGAUCGAGCGUCUCGGUAAUUUUCUUUGGCCUGUUAAUUUUAGAAAUUCUUGGUUUAAUUGUGUCUAUUGGGUUAUAUUGAGUAUUUGAUGAUUUUGUGAGUCAUAAAUAAUUGUCUGUCAGUUUGCCUGCCUCGUAUUUUGUGCUGUGUGGCGGAGUCGGGAAAUAGUGAAAUUUGGGGACCCGACUCCUUUUGUUUAAAUUGUUGGUUAUUUGAAGUAUUUUUCUGGCAGGUCCUGGACCCGUUUUUACGGGGGGUAAUGUUCGUGUUGUAGGGGAGGUUCUGCCGAAUUUUCGGUAGUUCCCGAGUCGAGAUUCUUAGACAGUCAGUCCUAGGAGUCUAGACCUAGGAUUAAUGAUCGAUUGUCUCAGCGUAUUGAUAAAUUAUUUUUCGUGAUUAGAUGAUCUGUCUGUUCGGCUCGCUCCUACCGAGGCACCUAAGCUGAGCUAGGAGGUCGCCCAAUUCUGUGAGUUAAAGUCAUAUAUCGUUUACGCACGUGUCAUGCAUAAAAUUUGAUUUGCUACUGUGAAUAUUUAUUUGCAAUUUCAAUUUUUCAUUCAAUUAUUAUUAUUAUCGUUUGAAUGAUGCUUUUAAUUACUAUUUAAAUAUGUUUUUCCUUUAUUACCAAUUUUAAUAUUGCAUGAUGACUCAGGAUGGGACGGCAGUAGAACAUAGGAGUUGGAUGAGUGUCCAAUAUAAUAUGAGAGAGAUAAGAAAAGGGUAAAGAGGUAAAAAUUUUGAGAAAGAAAGAUUAGGACCUGCCCUGGUCGAGCAUCGCUCUAUGGGCUUAGUAGAGUGUGGUUGCCGGAGUAAAGGUCCCUGGUCGAGCAUUGCUCUCGGGGCGCCGGCUUAUUUGGAAAUUUAAGUGACCAGACUGGAGGUAAGGUCCCUGGUCGAGCAUUGCUCUCGGGGCGCCAGUCUUAUUGGAUUAAGAGAGCCGAAUGGCUACUAGAUUUCUUAUUUGGAUAUUUAAGUGACCAGACUGGAAGUAAGGUCCCUGGUCGAGCUUUGCUCUCGGGGCGCCAGUCUUAUUGGAUAAGAGAGCCAAAAGGCUAAGGCUGAGAGUUAAGUGACCGGACUGGAGGUAAGGUCCCUGGUCGAGCUUUGCUCUCUGGGCGCCAGUCCUGUUGGAAUGAGAGGUUUGAGAUGAUAGAGUUGAGGUUAGUUGAGACAUGAGUGUUGAAAUAAUCGAGAUUUUAGAGUUGGGAUUAGAGUUCUACUGAAGUACUCUGUCCCGUUGCAUGUGGAAUAAAUUUUGUUUAAGCAUGGCAUGACACAUAUGUUUUAACAUGACACGUAUGGUUCGCGUGAUUUAUUAAUUAUUUUAAAAUUAAAUGAAUGUGACAUUGAGAUAUUUGAAACUGUUUUAGAUAUAUGAUUUUAACUCACUCUCGAGACUGACAGUCUCCAUUUAUGUUUUUUUCAGAUUCGUGACUGUUAGUUCUCCCGCGACUCUUAUUCAGUAACCCGACUCCUUCAUCAUCGGGUGAAGUAUUUGAUUUGGUAUGUAAAAUGGUAAAUCUUAGAUUCUCCGCAGUAGUAAUAGUAAAUGUAUCAGUUGUAAAUUUUUCUGAGCUUCGGGUCUCGCCUAGUUUUUCUGGCAGACCGAAGUAUUUAUGUAGAAUGUGGC
This 8624-nucleotide long non-coding RNA is filed under the name Ricinus communis (castor bean). RNAcentral's name for it is "long non-coding RNA (RCOM_LNC002335)". Lineage: Eukaryota; Viridiplantae; Streptophyta; Magnoliopsida; Malpighiales; Euphorbiaceae. The record is from RNAcentral.